AUGUAUAUCCUACCGGAGGGCGUUCAUGGCUCUUUCGAUAAGGAGCUUGCGAGGUUCUUCUGGCAGGCCACGGCCGCCCCCCAGAAGUAUCACAGGGUCAAGUGGGCAGAUAUCUGCAGACCCAAGGACCAGGGUGGCUUGGGCAUUAUGGCCUCUCGUCGCAUGAACGUGGCCCUUAUGCUACGAUAGGUAUGGCAGAUCAUGCGCGGCGAAGGAGGGUUGUGGCUACGACUGAUUCUAGCUAAAUACUUGAGGGGUGAACCCCUCCUGGCAUGCUCCCGCCUGGGAGGUUCCCAAUUUUGGCGAUCCAUCCAAAAGAUCAAGGACGAGAUCCGCCUAGGGAUCUCAUUCAAUAUAGGUAAUGGGACGGGACCCAAUUCUGGCUAG
RNAcentral lists this ribosomal RNA (387 nucleotides) under Triticum aestivum (bread wheat). RNAcentral's name for it is "partial small subunit ribosomal RNA". The record is from RNAcentral. Lineage: Eukaryota; Viridiplantae; Streptophyta; Magnoliopsida; Poales; Poaceae.